GUAAGGGGAGCGGCAGACGGGAGAGUAACACGCGGGAACGUACCCUUCAGUUCGGAACAACCCAGGGAAACUUGGGCUAAUACCGGAUACGUCCGUAAGGAGAAAGAUUUAUCGCUGAAGGAUCGGCCCGCGUCUGAUUAGCUAGUUGGUGAGGUAACGGCUCACCAAGGCGACGAUCAGUAGCUGGUCUGAGAGGAUGAUCAGCCUCACUGGGACUGAGACACGGCCCAGACUCCUACGGGAGGCAGCAGUGGGGAAUAUUGGACAAUGGGCGCAAGCCUGAUCCAGCCAUGCCGCGUGGAUGAUGAAGGCCCUAGGG
RNAcentral lists this ribosomal RNA (319 nucleotides) under uncultured bacterium. RNAcentral describes it as "bacterial SSU rRNA". It matches the Rfam family "Bacterial small subunit ribosomal RNA", at positions 86 to 422 of the family's 1533-position model. The record is from RNAcentral.